This is an RNA transcript of Anguilla anguilla (European eel), 2554 nucleotides long. It is a transcript of the gene named olfactory receptor 1F1-like, with no coding region annotated. The transcript is spliced from 2 exons. The record is from RefSeq and is a predicted model, not a curated record. Lineage: Eukaryota; Metazoa; Chordata; Actinopteri; Anguilliformes; Anguillidae.
AGCUGAGGAGACACGUUCAGAUGGCACCCAAGUUAUCGGGCAAAUAAUGUUUCGCUAACGCUGAGUCAAGUUUCCUCCAGGCACUACCAGGCAUUCGGUCUGUGCCACAAUUUAAACGAUCCAAGAGUUCAGAGGUUGAAACAGGUAAGCCAAGUUCGGUGAUUCCGGAACAAACCAGCUCAGAGUUAUUUGAGGUGAGAGGGGAGAAAAAAGAAGAAGAAAAAACAAGGAACACAAAUGAAUUGCUAUUCUUGCAUCAUGUUGCAUUCGAUUCUCAUGAGCAUUUCUUUUGUGUCCUCCGCCCUUGGUGUAUUGCUCUGUGUCAACUCCACAGGAUAUAAGAAUGACAGUGAAGGCUUUGACUCACCAUAGUCCUUUUCAACUGAUCUGGGAUCAAGUUCAAGGCCAUCUACUGAAAGAGAAAUAUUGAAAGACAUUGGUUUCUUCACAUUAGAAAAGGGGUUCUUCUGUAUGAGAUAUAUUGAUACAUUGGCAUUUUUGGUCUGUGCUCUUUGCCUAAGGUUAUUGGUAAGUAUUAGCUACACCUUAAUGUAUUCCUUGAUUGAUUUCAAAGCGUUGCAUUGUUCUGCUUAGGUUGAAGUACAUAAAAAUUUUUCUAACUGAAAGUUGAAUCUAAAUUACUGUCUUACUGACAGUUAAAAAAAAAAAAAGCUACAAAUAUAUUACAUCAAAAAUGAAUGAAAAAAAGUAAUGACAGGAACAAAAGUAAUACAAAAAUCAAUUUUUUUGUUUUUGUUUUAAUCAAGUGGCACAUUGGGCACAUGGGAUAAAAGGGGCAGGUGCUCACCCCCUGCCCACACACACACAUGCCUGGUGUUCUGUGAUGUCAUAAAAGGCUUCUCUGGUAGUACGAGAAAGCAGAUUUAAUAAAAUAUUUUUCAGUCACAGAUUAAUGAGUGAAUGAGUGAAGUCGUGGAAUUCUAUCUUUUGUCUUUCAGUUUCAGACAUAAGGGCAAACAACAUCUAUCAAUUCCAUAAUCAACAAUAAUUAAAUCAUAAAUCUGAGCUAAUGAAGUUUUCUGUAACUAAAUAUUUGACAAACCUCCUGCAGUUAACUUUGUCAUGUUUCAGGUAUUCAUUACCGCAGAUAAUAGGAACCUAUUUUUUUUUUUUUUCAGGUCCUAAAAGACUGUUUUUUUCAACAGGUGAGAAACAGUGAGUAGCAGAAAAACCUGCAAUGAGGUCCCUGAAUUCAACCUCCUUUUUGAACACCACUAUUGUGCGUCCUGAGUUCUUUUUCAUACGUGGUCUCGCUGGUAUUCCCCACACAAAAUACUACUAUUUCUUCUUGUGCUUCGUUUAUGCUGUGACUCUACUGGCGAACACUUUUGUCAUGCUUAUGAUUUACACCGACCACUGUCUUCACAGUCCGAAAUACAUUGCAGUGUUUAAUUUGGCUGUGUCUGACUUGUGUGGAAGCACAACACUCAUUCCUCAGUUGAUCGACACCUUCUUGUUUAAAUCACAGCUAAUAGCCUUCGAGGCCUGCCUGACUAACCUGUAUUUUAUUUAUGUCUUUUACGCGAUGCAGUCUCUCACUCUCACUAUUCUUUCCUAUGAUAGAGGUGUUGCUAUAUGCUUCCCACUGAGAUACAAUGAGAUCGUGACUAAUAAAUCAAUGCUGUUGAUCGUAAGUAUAUCGUGGAUGUUUCCAUCAGUUGCCACUCUCAUAUCUACAAUUAUUCUCAGCAGACUGUCAUUCUGCAAAUCCAUUGUGGUGAACAGUUUUUUCUGCGACUACGGACCCAUAUACAAUUUGGCUUGCAAUGACAACACUCCGAGUAAUGUGAUUCGUUGGACGUAUCCUGUGGUGUUUCUAUGGUUUCCGUUACUGUUUAUCAUAGGCACAUACAUUUCUAUAGCCAGAGCAUUAUUGAAAAUUGCUGCGGCAUCCGAGCGCCUCAAAGCCAUGAAAACCUGCAGCGCUCAUUUGAUCUUGGUGAGUGUGUAUUAUUUUCCUUUAUGCAUCUCUUUCGUACUGGGCUCCAGCAUUCACCAGAACAUCAGGAUUAUGAACAUGUGCCUGGCGACCGUCUUGCCACCGAUGCUGAAUCCAAUAAUUUACUCACUGAAGACGGAAGAAUUCAGAGAAUCCGUUAAGAAGCUGUACAAGCGAAAGAAGAUACACAUCACUGUAAGAAAUAAAUGAAUAAACGUUUCAAUCGUGAACGACUGACUGGGACGUUUGACUCUCACUUUCGGUGUAGGAGAGCACAGAAAACCACGUUCCGUCCUCUGAUAUACGUGAACGUCAAACCACUGCAGUCCACAAAAUUUGCUGUCGAACAGAAGCUGAGUUUUGUGGACAAGCCGGAAUGAGCCGGAAGGGGGCACGUCAUGUGCAGUGUCCCCCUUGAGGGUUGCAGUUCUUGGACGCCUAUGCAUCUACUUUGGGACCUCUCUGGUGCAGCAGUGAUUUGUAGUGAAUUUUCCAUAUUGUACCUCUAUAACCCAUUACAUGUUUGACUUGGGCUAAGCCUUUAAGGCUGGAGCGGUGAUCCUGCUGUCAAUGCAAAUACAAAGUUUCAUAGGC